CUGGAGUUAACUAAAUGAAGUGUUACUACUCAGAUUCUACUCUAAUAUCAUUUUAGAACCUGUUGUCGCACUGGGGGCUGGCAGCACAUUAGCUGCUAUAAAAGAAGCUGAGCAGGAAGAGCAUGACAAGGAAAAGAAAGAGCAGAAGGAAACGCUUAGUGACCCAUCAAUUCUGUCAGAGCUAAAUAAAACCUCAGAUGAAACAGUACCUCCCAGUUUGGAACAACUGUGGUCCUAUAGAUGUGAUUUAACUCACCCGCACAAUGUGAGCAGCAUGGCUUGGAGCAAAGUAAACCUGGAUCUUCUAGCUGUUGGUUAUGGAGCGUUUGAUUUUAAAGAACAGAAGGAAGGCUUGGCAUGCUGCUGGUCGCUGAAGAACCCAAUGGUAACAGAAGCACUGGUUUUGUCUUCUUUCUUCUUCUGUGUGUUUUUCUGCUGUACCGUUUCUCCUUCAUUAAUUUUCCCCUUA
This is a non-coding RNA of Meleagris gallopavo (turkey), 469 nucleotides long. NCBI's taxonomy places the organism in Eukaryota, Metazoa, Chordata, Aves, Galliformes, Phasianidae. The record is from RefSeq and is a predicted model, not a curated record.